This 464-nucleotide ribosomal RNA is filed under the name uncultured bacterium. RNAcentral describes it as "partial 16S ribosomal RNA". It matches the Rfam family "Bacterial small subunit ribosomal RNA", at positions 338 to 795 of the family's 1533-position model. The record is from RNAcentral.
CCUACGGGUGGCAGCAGUGGGGAAUAUUGCGCAAUGGGCGAAAGCCUGACGCAGCGACGCCGCGUGAGGGAUGAAGGUCUUCGGAUCGUAAACCUCUGUCAGCAGGGAAGAACGGUCACUGUGCUAAUCAGCAGUGAAUUGACGGUACCUGCAAAGGAAGCACCGGCUAACUCCGUGCCAGCAGCCGCGGUAAUACGGAGGAUGCGAGCGUUAUCCGGAUUUAUUGGGUUUAAAGGGUGCGUAGGCGGAAGGUUAAGUCAGCGGUCAAAUGUCGGUGCUCAACACCGGCCUGCCGUUGAAACUGGUCUUCUUGAGUGAGCGAGAAGUAUGCGGAAUGCGUGGUGUAGCGGUGAAAUGCAUAGAUAUCACGCAGAACUCCGAUUGCGAAGGCAGCAUACCGGCGCUCAACUGACGCUGAGGCACGAAAGCGUGGGGAUCGAACAGGAUUAGAUACCCUUGUAGUC